GACGAACGCUGGCGGCGUGCCUAAUACAUGCAAGUAGAACGCUGAAGGAGGAGCUUGCUUCUCUGGAUGAGUUGCGAACGGGUGAGUAACGCGUAGGUAACCUGCCUGGUAGCGGGGGAUAGCUAUUGGAAACGAUAGCUAAUACCGCAUAACAGUAGAUAUCGCAUGAUAUCUACUUGAAAGGUGCAAUUGCAUCACUACCAGAUGGACCUGCGUUGUAUUAGCUAGUUGGUGAGGUAACGGCUCACCAAGGCGACGAUACAUAGCCGACCUGAGAGGGUGCUCGGCCACACUGGGACUGAGACACGGCCCAGACUCCUACGGGAGGCAGCAGUAGGGAAUCUUCGGCAAAGGACGGAAGUCUGACCGAGCAACGCCGCGUGAGUGAAGAAGGUUUUCGGAUCGUAAAGCUCUGUUGUAAGAGAAGAACGAGUGUGAGAGUGGAAAGUUCACACUGUGACGGUAUCGUACCAGAAAGGGACGGCUAACUACGU
RNAcentral lists this ribosomal RNA (494 nucleotides) under uncultured bacterium. Its description in RNAcentral is "partial 16S ribosomal RNA". It matches the Rfam family "Bacterial small subunit ribosomal RNA", at positions 28 to 506 of the family's 1533-position model. The record is from RNAcentral.